This 82-nucleotide transfer RNA is filed under the name Salmonella enterica. RNAcentral's name for it is "tRNA-Phe". It matches the Rfam family "tRNA". From Rfam's summary of the family: Transfer RNA (tRNA) molecules are approximately 80 nucleotides in length. Their secondary structure includes four short double-helical elements and three loops (D, anti-codon, and T loops). Further hydrogen bonds mediate the characteristic L-shaped molecular structure. tRNAs have two regions of fundamental functional importance: the anti-codon, which is responsible for specific mRNA codon recognition, and the 3' end, to which the tRNAs corresponding amino acid is attached (by aminoacyl-tRNA synthetases). tRNAs cope with the degeneracy of the genetic code in two manners: having more than one tRNA (with a specific anti-codon) for a particular amino acid; and 'wobble' base-pairing, i.e. permitting non-standard base-pairing at the 3rd anti-codon position. The record is from RNAcentral. Lineage: Bacteria; Pseudomonadati; Pseudomonadota; Gammaproteobacteria; Enterobacterales; Enterobacteriaceae.
GCCCGGAUAGCUCAGUCGGUAGAGCAGGGGAUUGAAAAUCCCCGUGUCCUUGGUUCGAUUCCGAUUCCGAGUCCGGGCACCA